CCUACGGGUGGCUGCAGUGGGGAAUAUUGGACAAUGGGGGGAACCCUGAUCCAGCCAUGCCGCGUGUGUGAAGAAGGCCCUCGGGUUGUAAAGCACUUUCAGUGAGGAAGAACGCCUGGUGGUUAAUACCCAUCAGGAAAGACAUCACUCACAGAAGAAGCACCGGCUAACUCCGUGCCAGCAGCCGCGGUAAUACGGAGGGUGCGAGCGUUAAUCGGAAUUACUGGGCGUAAAGCGCGCGUAGGUGGCUUGAUAAGCCGGUUGUGAAAGCCCCGGGCUCAACCUGGGAAUGGCAUCCGGAACUGUCAAGCUAGAGUGCAGGAGAGGAAGGUAGAAUUCCCGGUGUAGCGGUGAAAUGCGUAGAGAUCGGGAGGAAUACCAGUGGCGAAGGCGGCCUUCUGGACUGACACUGACACUGAGGUGCGAAAGCGUGGGUAGCAAACAGGAUUAGAUACCCUGGUAGUC
RNAcentral lists this ribosomal RNA (465 nucleotides) under Vreelandella stevensii. Its description in RNAcentral is "partial 16S ribosomal RNA". It matches the Rfam family "Bacterial small subunit ribosomal RNA", at positions 338 to 795 of the family's 1533-position model. The record is from RNAcentral. Lineage: Bacteria; Pseudomonadati; Pseudomonadota; Gammaproteobacteria; Oceanospirillales; Halomonadaceae.